This 460-nucleotide ribosomal RNA is filed under the name uncultured bacterium. Its description in RNAcentral is "partial 16S ribosomal RNA". It matches the Rfam family "Bacterial small subunit ribosomal RNA", at positions 338 to 795 of the family's 1533-position model. The record is from RNAcentral.
CCUACGGGUGGCAGCAGUGAGGAAUAUUGGUCAAUGGACGAGAGUCUGAACCAGCCAAGUAGCGUGAAGGAUGACUGCCCUAUGGGUUGUAAACUUCUUUUAUAUGGGAAUAAAAUGUUCCACGUGUGGGAUUUUGUAUGUACCAUAUGAAUAAGGAUCGGCUAACUCCGUGCCAGCAGCCGCGGUAAUACGGUGGAUCCGAGCGUUAUCCGGAUUUAUUGGGUUUAAAGGGAGCGUAGGGGGAUUGUUAAGUCAGUUGUGAAAGUUUGCGGCUCAACCGUAAAAGUGCAGUUGAAACUGGCAGUCUUGAGUGCAGUAGAGGAGGGCGGAAUUCGUGGUGUAGCGGUGAAAUGCUUAGAUAUAACGAAGAACUCCGAUUGCGAAGGCAGCUCACUGGACUGCAACUGACGCUGAGGUUCGAAAGCGUGGGUAGCAAACAGGAUUAGAUACCCUUGUAGUC